CAGCACCUCAAGUGGUCAGGAUGAUUAUUGGGCCUAAAGCAUCCGUAGCCGGCGCUGUAAGUUUUCGGUUAAAUCUGUACGCUCAACGUACAGGCUGCCGGGAAUACUGCAGCGCUAGGGAGUGGGAGAGGUAGACGGUACUCGAUAGGAAGGGGUAAAAUCCUUUGAUCUAUUGAUGACCACCUGUGGCGAAGGCGGUCUACCAGAACACGUCCGACGGUGAGGGAUGAAAGCUGGGGGAGCAAACCGGAUUAGAUACCCGAGUAGUCC
This 270-nucleotide ribosomal RNA is filed under the name uncultured archaeon. Its description in RNAcentral is "partial 16S ribosomal RNA". It matches the Rfam family "Archaeal small subunit ribosomal RNA", at positions 477 to 747 of the family's 1478-position model. The record is from RNAcentral.